UGUCGCUCGGGGGGGGGGGGGGGGGGGGGGGGGGGGGGGGGGGGGGGGGGGGGGGGGGGGUGCCGCUGUCGCUCAGAGCGCAGCGGGGGCCGGGGCAGCGCCGCUUCUCCUGACACUUCCCUGCUGAAACAACAACAAGCUGCCCCUGCUGCCAAACCCCAUUUGUUGGCUGGGGCAGCUACCUUUAACCUUCCUAAAGUCAACAUCUCUGCGGACAGGGUGGGGAGCAGACCCAGCAGAGCACAGGAGAGCUGGAGAAGGGGUGACAAGUGUGAAAAACGAGGAGUAAGAAUUACCUCUCCCCAAAGACCACCUUCUCAUCACAGGAGAGAAUGCAACUGUGAGGAUGUGAGGAAUGCACAGUCAGGAAUGCAAUUCAGAGAUAGACUGUAGAGGUUUCCAACAAUUAAUGCUGCACAGGGUUUUUCUCUUCUGCCAUUUGCUCUCUGCUCCUGUUUCCUCUUAGGCAGUUAGCACAUCUAAGGACUCCAGAUCAGUUUGGAAGGCAGAUAAUUCUGUGUUUGUCCAAAGUACAGCUAUACACACAUUAUGUCUUUCACUACAGGAGUAGAGGUAAAAUAUUGAGGAAUGUUUCAGAAUCUUUCCACAAACUCUUACCUGCAAUACACCCACCCCACUGGCACAAGAAAACCCCUUUUUUUCUUCUGUGUCAUCUGCCACAGACUUUUGCCUCCUUCCAUGGGCUUAGACCAGCAGGGUGUUCUUAUUUGAGAGGCAUUUGUUUCAAUAGCUUUGUGGAGUAAAAACCUAUUACCAAAUAUAAGGGUAGAAGAAACUAAACUAAUAGAGUCUUACAAUGGAAAUAUUCACAUUUGUACCAGUAAAAAAGCACUUGUACUCCCAUCUGUGCAUGCUUUAGAUUUCAUCCAAGAGGAAUAAUUUUUCAUUUUCUAGAAAGUAGAGACAAAUAGAAAAUUAACUUUUGGUACAUCUGCCACGUGUAACCACCAUUCAGGGAUGAGUUACUAAAUGCAUUGUUAGCUGCUGUUUGCAGAACAAAGAAAAGGAGCUGGAAAAUUAAUUAUAUUACAUAUAUUCUCCUCUGGUUAUUGUCAUGAUUUUUAUCAUUUGCCAAGGAUUAGAAAUUAAUCAUUAAGGACUAAUAUUUCAGUAAAAAGAUUAUUUCUCCCAGUAAUCUGUGGGGUUUUUGUCUCUUGAGCACAUAUUCAUAAAUUUAUCGAAGAGUCUAAAAACUCUGGACGCAAAUUGGUCUUCCUGUGCCUUAAAGCAUUUAGUUUUCAGAAUAAAUAACAGGUUUGUAGAAAUCCUCCAUUUCCUAUCUCUAAAAUGAGCAUAAGAAAGAUAAAAUACAGGCAAAAUAAAAGAAGUUUGCCUGUCCUCCUUAUGUCUGCAGUAAUCACUGUAUAUGUCAGGGAAAAAAGGGAGAGUUGAAAUGAUUCUGUUCUUUCUGCUGCUGAAACAUCCAGAGGACAGGAAAAUUUACUGAAUAUUUUAGAAAAAGAGAUGUAUUUCUUUUAAAUGGAGGAUGGAUUGUUCUCUAUGAAGUAAUGUGAAAUAAUGUGUUCUUUUUUUUUAAUAGCAUACCUAAGUUCCAAUCAUAAGUCUAAGGCA
This 1593-nucleotide long non-coding RNA is filed under the name Ficedula albicollis (Collared flycatcher). RNAcentral describes it as "lncRNA (ENSFALG00000028138.1)". Lineage: Eukaryota; Metazoa; Chordata; Aves; Passeriformes; Muscicapidae. The record is from RNAcentral.